This 207-nucleotide microRNA precursor is filed under the name Oryza glumipatula. Its description in RNAcentral is "MIR812 microRNA precursor family". It matches the Rfam family "MIR812 microRNA precursor family". Lineage: Eukaryota; Viridiplantae; Streptophyta; Magnoliopsida; Poales; Poaceae. The record is from Rfam by way of RNAcentral.
AAAAAGACAAACCUUAAGUUUCCGUGUCCAACGUUUAACUGUCCGUCUUAUAUGAAAUUUUUUUAUAAUUAGUAUUUUUAUUGUUGUUAGAUGAUAAAACAUGAUUAAUACUUUAUACGUGACUUGUCUUUUUAAUUUUUUUCAUAAUUUUUUUAAAUAAGACGGACGGUCAAACGUUGGACACGGAAACCCAGGGUUUGUCUUUUU